RNAcentral lists this ribosomal RNA (425 nucleotides) under uncultured Leptolyngbya sp. RNAcentral describes it as "bacterial SSU rRNA". It matches the Rfam family "Bacterial small subunit ribosomal RNA", at positions 355 to 795 of the family's 1533-position model. The record is from RNAcentral. Lineage: Bacteria; Bacillati; Cyanobacteriota; Cyanophyceae; Leptolyngbyales; Leptolyngbyaceae.
UGGGGAAUUUUCCGCAAUGGGCGAAAGCCUGACGGAGCAAGUCCGCGUGAGGGAGGACGGCUUUUGGGUUGUAAACCUCUUUUAUCAGGGAAGAAGAUCUGACGGUACCUGAUGAAUCAGCAUCGGCUAACUCCGUGCCAGCAGCCGCGGUAAUACGGAGGAUGCAAGCGUUAUCCGGAUUUAUUGGGCGUAAAGCGUCCGCAGGUGGUUUUACAAGUCUGCUGUUAAAGCGCAGGGCUUAACUCUGUAACGGCGGUGGAAACUGUCAGACUAGAGUAUGGUAGGGGUAGCGGGAAUUCCCAGUGUAGCGGUGAAAUGCGUAGAUAUUGGGAAGAACACCAGCGGCGAAAGCGCGCUACUGGGCCAUUACUGACACUCAUGGACGAAAGCUAGGGGAGCGAAAGGGAUUAGAUACCCCUGUAGUC